RNAcentral lists this ribosomal RNA (295 nucleotides) under Salmonella enterica subsp. enterica serovar Derby. RNAcentral's name for it is "partial 23S ribosomal RNA". It matches the Rfam family "Bacterial large subunit ribosomal RNA", at positions 897 to 1190 of the family's 2925-position model. The record is from RNAcentral. Lineage: Bacteria; Pseudomonadati; Pseudomonadota; Gammaproteobacteria; Enterobacterales; Enterobacteriaceae. RNAcentral also lists the same sequence under 7 other names.
CGGGGGUAGAGCACUGUUUCGGCUAGGGGGCCAUCCCGGCUUACCAACCCGAUGCAAACUGCGAAUACCGGAGAAUGUUAUCACGGGAGACACACGGCGGGUGCUAACGUCCGUCGUGAAGAGGGAAACAACCCAGACCGCCAGCUAAGGUCCCAAAGUCAUGGUUAAGUGGGAAACGAUGUGGGAAGGCCCAGACAGCCAGGAUGUUGGCUUAGAAGCAGCCAUCAUUUAAAGAAAGCGUAAUAGCUCACUGGUCGAGUCGGCCUGCGCGGAAGAUGUAACGGGGCUAAACCAU